This 133-nucleotide small nucleolar RNA is filed under the name Neolamprologus brichardi. Its description in RNAcentral is "Small nucleolar RNA SNORA70 (ENSNBRG00000004207.1)". It matches the Rfam family "Small nucleolar RNA SNORA70". Rfam says of the family: snoRNA U70 seems to be exclusive to mammals and is a member of the H/ACA class of snoRNA which contain H (ANANNA) and ACA box motifs. The record is from Rfam by way of RNAcentral. Lineage: Eukaryota; Metazoa; Chordata; Actinopteri; Cichliformes; Cichlidae.
CUGCAGCUUAUUAAGCCGACCAGUCUCGCUGCGGUGCGGUUCUGGUGUGCAAAGGCUGCAGACACUGACUCUUUGGUUGUGUAUGUCCUCAGCUGGGAGGUGCUGAGUGCUUUAAGGGACCACUGAGACAAAA